CUGGGUAUCCUGGCACCCAUAUUCCAUGCUGUGAAAUCAUUCAGUGUGAGAACUUGGACCUUAUGGCCCUCACCCAACAGCAGCAGCCGACAGUCGGAAUGACCACAGCUGUACAUCAAGCCUAUGGUGACUCAGGAAGGGGAUGCAUGCAGUGAAGGAAGCCGCUUCGAUCACAGUGGCUGACGAUGAACCCACCUGCCUGGGGAGCCAGACCUGGUUGUUGUACCUGGACCUUGGUACUGGUGAGCAAGACUGGAAAGUAUCCCAAAUAAAGGCAUUCAGAAGUGGAGGCACACACAGAUGACAGCUGAGAAUGUUCCCAUGAAGGGAUUCUAUCUCGCAUGAUCUCCACAGAGGUGAGGAUCAAGAUUCCUCUUUGCCAUCAGCACAUGUUUUUCCGAGAACCCAGCCACUCCAGAAAAUCUAUUUUAUUUGCAGAACUAUUGCAAAAUCUGACACUCCUCUUCACUUCACUGGAAUGCCCUUGUAAUUGCCAAACGUUGCCUUGCCUCGUGGAAAUUCUUGGCCAGACCUAUGGAUUGCCAGACCUUGCAGCUGUUGACCCUUGAAGUCCAGUUCUCCUAUAACAUGAAAUCCAGCAACGUUUCCUAAAGACCCAAUAAGAGUAGGCAGCUGAGCUAGUUACCACUGAAGGUAUGAAGCCCUCAAGCAGUGAAGAGUUUAUUCAAAAAUAAACAUGAAUACUUAAAUAGCAGGCACGGGCUUAUGUGACAAUUAUGAAUAGAAGAAAUAGCAAAGGCAUCAUACAGGAGGAAAAACGCCUAUAAGAACUCACUGGAGGGAGAGACAUCAAUCCUUCCUUUUAAACUAGAAGGCCAAGAGCCCAGGAUAGGAGGAGUUCACCGCGCUGUUUCCCUUCAUGUCAGCAUCUUGGAGUACAAUUAUGGAAAAGAUAAAAUGUUCCUGUUCCUCACCCAUCUCUUGUGUGCCUUGGGCUGCCUCUCCUGGAUUUCAGGUUAGCUCUUAACCUGAGGUUGCUUAAUGUCACCGUUGAGGUUUCAGCCCUGGGAAAGGUCCGCCUCCUCUCCACUGGUAAUUCUCGAUUAUGCCUGUACCCUUGUCGAUUUUGUUUUCAGGUUUUCUAAGACUUGGAAGCCCUGGACUGGGACCAGGUCAAUAAGAUACUGUUCGUGGGCCGGGCACGGUGGCACAAGCC
Carlito syrichta (Philippine tarsier) is the source of this 1177-nucleotide long non-coding RNA. RefSeq lists it as uncharacterized. The record is from RefSeq and is a predicted model, not a curated record. NCBI's taxonomy places the organism in Eukaryota, Metazoa, Chordata, Mammalia, Primates, Tarsiidae. The transcript is spliced from 3 exons.